GACGAACGCUGGCGGCGUGCUUAACACAUGCAAGUCGAACGGAAAGGCCCUGCUUUUGUGGGGUGCUCGAGUGGCGAACGGGUGAGUAACACGUGAGUAACCUGCCCUUGACUUUGGGAUAACUUCAGGAAACUGGGGCUAAUACCGGAUAGGAGCUCCUGCUGCAUGGUGGGGGUUGGAAAGUUUCGGCGGUUGGGGAUGGACUCGCGGCUUAUCAGCUUGUUGGUGGGGUAGUGGCUUACCAAGGCUUUGACGGGUAGCCGGCCUGAGAGGGUGAACGGCCACAUUGGGACUGAGAUACGGCCCAGACUCCUACGGGAGGCAGCAGUGGGGAAUGUUGCACAAUGGGCGGAAGCCUGAUGCAGCAACGCCGCGUGCGGGAUGACGGCCUUCGGGUUGUAAACCGCUUUCGCCUGUGACGAAGCGUGAGUGACGGUAAUGGGUAAAGAAGCACCGGCUAACUACGUG
RNAcentral lists this ribosomal RNA (468 nucleotides) under uncultured bacterium. RNAcentral's name for it is "partial 16S ribosomal RNA". It matches the Rfam family "Bacterial small subunit ribosomal RNA", at positions 28 to 507 of the family's 1533-position model. The record is from RNAcentral.